This 468-nucleotide ribosomal RNA is filed under the name uncultured bacterium. Its description in RNAcentral is "partial 16S ribosomal RNA". It matches the Rfam family "Bacterial small subunit ribosomal RNA", at positions 28 to 507 of the family's 1533-position model. The record is from RNAcentral.
GACGAACGCUGGCGGCGUGCUUAACACAUGCAAGUCGAACGGAAAGGCCCUGCUUUUGUGGGGUGCUCGAGUGGCGAACGGGUGAGUAACACGUGAGUAACCUGCCCUUGACUUUGGGAUAACUUCAGGAAACUGGGGCUAAUACCGGAUAUGAGCUCCUGCUGCAUGGUGGGGGUUGGAAAGUUUCGGCGGUUGGGGAUGGACUCGCGGCUUAUGAGCCUGUUGGUGGGGUAGUUGCUUACCAAGGUUUUGACGGGUAGCCGGCCUGAGAGGGUGACCGGCCACAUUGGGACUGAGAUACGGCCCAGAAUCCUACGGGAGGCAGAAGUGGGGAAUAUUGCACAAUGGGCGGAAGCCUGAUGCAGCAACGCCGCGUGCGGGAUGACGGCCUUCGGGUUGUAAACCGCUUUCGCAUGUGACGAAGCGUGAGUGACGGUAAUGGGUAAAGAAGCACCGGCUAACUACGUG